CUUAAGUGGGCGGACGGGUGAGUAACGCGUGGGGAACCUGCCUUGCACCGGGGGAUAACACUUAGAAAUAGGUGCUAAUACCGCAUAAGCGCACAGAGCCGCAUGGCUCGGUGUGAAAAACUCCGGUGGUGCAAGAUGGACCCGCGUCUGAUUAGCUGGUUGGCGGGGUAACGGCCCACCAAGGCGACGAUCAGUAGCCGGCCUGAGAGGGUGAACGGCCACAUUGGGACUGAGACACGGCCCAAACUCCUACGGGAGGCAGCAG
Molecule: ribosomal RNA, 265 nt
Filed under: uncultured bacterium
Lineage: Bacteria
Description: partial 16S ribosomal RNA
Rfam family: Bacterial small subunit ribosomal RNA
Source: RNAcentral